GUGCCAGCCGCCGCGGUAAUACGGAGGGUGCAAGCGUUGUCCGGAAUCACUGGGCGUAAAGGGUGCGCAGGCGGGGCAGCAAGUCAGAGGUGAAAGCCCACGGCUUAACCGCGGACGUGCCUUGGAAACUGCUGCUCUUGAGUCCCGGAGAGGCUGCCGGAAUUCGUGGUGUAGCGGUGAAAUGCGUAGAUAUCACGAGGAACACCAGAGGCGAAAGCGGGCAGCUGGACGGGUACUGACGCUCAGGCACGAAAGCGUGGGGAGCAAACAGGAUUAGAUACCCCAGUAGUCC
RNAcentral lists this ribosomal RNA (292 nucleotides) under uncultured bacterium. RNAcentral's name for it is "partial 16S ribosomal RNA". It matches the Rfam family "Bacterial small subunit ribosomal RNA", at positions 505 to 796 of the family's 1533-position model. The record is from RNAcentral.